GGGGAUUUAGCUCAGUGGUAGAGCACUUGCCUACCAAGCACAAGGCCCUGGGUUCGGUCCCCAGCUCCG
Non-coding RNA from Rattus norvegicus (Norway rat), 69 nucleotides. The record is from Rfam. NCBI's taxonomy places the organism in Eukaryota, Metazoa, Chordata, Mammalia, Rodentia, Muridae.